Molecule: ribosomal RNA, 253 nt
Filed under: uncultured bacterium
Lineage: Bacteria
Description: partial 16S ribosomal RNA
Rfam family: Bacterial small subunit ribosomal RNA
Source: RNAcentral
UACGUAGGUGGCAAGCGUUGUCCGGAAUUAUUGGGCGUAAAGCGUGCGUAGGCGGUCUAUUAAGUCUUAUUUGAAAGCCCAUGGCUUAACCAUGGAGGGUGAUAGGAAACUGGUAGACUUGAGUACAGGAGAGGAAGGUGGAAUUCCACAUGUAGCGGUGAAAUGCGUAGAUAUGUGGAGGAACACCGGUGGCGAAGGCGGCCUUCUGGCCUGUGUCUGACGCUGAGGCAAGAAAGCGUGGGUAGCAAACAGG